UACUCAUAAUCAUGAUGGUGAUGGUGGUGGUGGUGGUGAUGUAAAAGAGAAAUAGCAUGCAUGAUCAAAAUCAUCAUCAUCAUCAUCAUCAUCA
Molecule: microRNA precursor, 94 nt
Filed under: Bigelowiella natans CCMP2755
Lineage: Eukaryota; Cercozoa; Chlorarachniophyceae
Description: miRNA EPrBNAG00000013304
Source: RNAcentral